This is an RNA transcript of Cucurbita pepo subsp. pepo (vegetable marrow), 2354 nucleotides long. RefSeq lists it as uncharacterized. NCBI's taxonomy places the organism in Eukaryota, Viridiplantae, Streptophyta, Magnoliopsida, Cucurbitales, Cucurbitaceae. The record is from RefSeq and is a predicted model, not a curated record.
UAAAGGGCUGCGGAAGUAAAACUCCCUGAGUUUUUUUUUCAUCGCAAUUGCUGAUACAAAGCUAGCUUCGAUUCAUUUACGACGCGGUUCAUUCCAACCUGAAUUGUUUCUGUCGAGAUUUUUGUUUUAAGGUCGAAGUGACGGUUGUUAAUGUUUCUACCCGGCGUCAGAAUGGGAUCGAGAGUUUGGACGAUUUCUUCUUCGUGUCGAGGGAGUAUGUUCUCUCUUGCUAUGAUCUCUCUGAAAUCAUCUUUCCGAUGACCGGGGUAAAGCAGUCUUGAUAAUGAGUUUUCUUAUUAAAGCCCAGAAGGAUGGGGUUAUUGCUGGAGCUAUAGGGCUGCUUUGAGGCAGUGAAGGGACGUCUCUCAUAUCCUCUGCAAUAAAAUCUCUUCAUAUUGGAAUACCUAAGCUUAUUGUCUCAACGUUUCCUAGUGGUCAGACAGACUCUUAUAUCUGGACAUCCGAUCGGAUACUUUUCCCAUCAAUAGUGGAUGUGUCUGGAAUCAGUGGAGGAAACUGUACUCCGUCUACUGGCUAUAGCAGUUGCUGCUCAUGGGAUCAAUCCUAAUAUCUUGGUGCUCUAUCAUGGAGAAUUGGACAAAUUAUGUUCAGAUUGAUCUUAAUUUGAAGGCAGAAGAUAAUGCUUUGGUCUGCACUCCUUUCGUUCCCCGUGAAAAGAUAAUCUUCAGAUCCUUAGCAAAAAGUCUGCCAAAGUCUCGGUCUCAUCCUAAUGUAAGCAACCAAAAAUAGGGCAGUGUAGAAGAUCACAGUACCAAGUAUUAUGAGUUCGGAUCAUUUGGUAAUAAAUGCCAGCGUUAGACAGCUUGGUAGUACAUGCAGAAGAUUGUACAUUUUUCUACAUAAUCAAUUCCAGGAAAUUUGAGGUAUAGUGAAGCCAAUAUUAGGCUAAUUUUCUCCUGUCAAUUUGUGUAUUUAUAUUGAUUGUAUUCAUUCUGAGACGAUUCCUCUCGAUCCUCCUGGGACUGUAAAUGUUAGAUGGUUGCCUUUUAUGCCUGUGUAAGAAUGUAAUUCUCAUUUGUCAAAUGCAUGAAAAUGAAAAGAUGUACAAUUACUUCAAUAUUAAAAUUAUCUAAUGAAGUGCGGCCCUUGAUGAGCUUGAUACUUGCCCUGUAUAUUAUAUCUAGUACUAACUUCUUACACGCUUGUGAUGGGCAGAAAAAUGUAGCAAAUCGUACCCUCUGUGUUUUGUUCUUCUCUCUCUCUCUCUUUUUUUUUUUCUUUUUUUUUUUUUGUUGGUUCACUACUUUAUCAAGAUCAAUUUGGGGAAGAUCCAUUAUCCUAGAUAUUGUAGAUUCAAACUUGGACUGUAAGAACAGUCCUGUUAUCAAUUGCACAUUGUUUCUCCUUGAAGAUUAAAAUGAAGGUCCUGUUUCUUUCAAGUGCGAGCCGUCCUUAUCAUUUCACAUGUCAUUCAGACCUUAACCAUGACGGAGCAAGAUGUUAUCAUCCUUGAGGUGUUCAUUCUUAGGUUUUUCUGCUUCCUCUUAAUCUUCUACUCAUGUAAGAACGACACAAUUGUAGAUGAAGAUCUUUCUUUUAAUGAUGCUACUAAAUCGUCGAUUAUAAGGUCUUCAAAGUAAUGGGGCAGCCGCUUCUCAGCCUAGGGAUAUGUGCCUUCUUUUCGAGGCAAGGAUCUGGAUCAUCAACCGUCCACCUAAACAAUACAAAGGAAAAAUAAUGAUAAGGAUAAGAAGAGGAAGUUCGGAAUUAGUUCUUGGAACGGUAUGAAAUGCCUGCUGCUUUAGGAAUGUACAGACUCACCUGUACCCUCCAGUCAUCCUGUGCAAAAAGACCAACAUUGUUAAUUUGGCCAUGUUGAUUCCGAGACAGGUCCUGGGUCCAGAUCCAAAAGGUGGAAGCUGCAUUUUUUUAGCUGAAUUCAAGUGUCUCGGAGCUACAUCUUCUUCCCCCUCUCCUGGAGUGGAGUUUGACUAGGAUAUUUAAAAUAUUUUUAAAAUUCAGAUUGUAUAUAAAUUAAUUACUAUAAAAAAAAACAUUUCUUUCUUUUUCCAUAAAGUUAAAUUAGUUUUAUUUAUUUAUUUAUUAAUAUUAUUAUUGGUUAAAUAUGUAAGUUAGUGAAUCUGGUUAUUUAACCUCACUUGUAUGAACUGGCGGCAGGGAAUGGAAAGAGGGAACGGAAAAGGAGAGGGAGCUACUGAAAGGGAUGAUGAUCAUGAAACUCCAUAAACUCGGUAACUCCAGUUUUCCCCUCUCUAAGCUUGUCAAUGUUCUAGUUAAUUUUGUAUCGCUUAAAAUCGUUGGAGCUUAUGAUCGGGUGCAUCAUCUAAUUAUUUGUUAUGUUGAUCUAAUUAUUUGUUAUGUUGAGAGGUUUU